Molecule: ribosomal RNA, 305 nt
Filed under: uncultured bacterium
Lineage: Bacteria
Description: bacterial SSU rRNA
Rfam family: Bacterial small subunit ribosomal RNA
Source: RNAcentral
CGGCCUACGGGAGGCAGCAGUGGGGAAUAUUGGGCAAUGGGCGCAAGCCUGACCCAGCAACGCCGCGUGAAGGAUGAAGGUUUUCGGAUUGUAAACUUCUGUCGCGAGGGACGAAGAAUGACGGUACCUCGUAAGAAAGCCCCGGCUAACUACGUGCCAGCAGCCGCGGUAAUACGUAGGGGGCAAGCGUUAUCCGGAAUUACUGGGUGUAAAGGGUGAGUAGGCGGCAUGGUAAGCCAGAUGUGAAAGCCUUGGGCUUAACCCGAGGAUUGCAUUUGGAACUAUCAAGCUAGAGUACAGGAGAG